GACGAACGCUGGCGGCGUGCUUAACACAUGCAAGUCGAACGGAAAGGCCCUGCUUUUGUGGGGUGCUCGAGUGGCGAACGGGUGAGUAACACGUGAGUAACCUGCCCUUGACUUUGGGAUAACGUCAGGAAACUGGGGCUAAUACCGGAUAGGAGCUCCUGCUGCAAGGUGGGGGUUGGAAAGUUUCGGCGGUUGGGGAUGGACUCGCGGCUUAUCAGCUUGUUGGUGGGGUAGUGGCUUACCAAGGCUUUGACGGGUAGCCGGCCUGAGAGGGUGACCGGCCACAUUGGGACUGAGAUACGGCCCAGACUCCUACGGGAGGCAGCAGUGGGGAAUAUUGCACAAUGGGCGGAAGCCUGAUGCAGCAACGCCGCGUGCGGGAUGACGGCCUUCGGGUUGUAAACCGCUUUCGCCUGUGACGAAGCGUGAGUGACGGUAAUGGGUAAAGAAGCACCGGCUAACUACGUG
RNAcentral lists this ribosomal RNA (468 nucleotides) under uncultured bacterium. RNAcentral's name for it is "partial 16S ribosomal RNA". It matches the Rfam family "Bacterial small subunit ribosomal RNA", at positions 28 to 507 of the family's 1533-position model. The record is from RNAcentral.